GGGAAUACAGCACUAUUGGAGUAGUGUACUGACUUGUCACGUCAGACGUUGUGAGUUCAAAUCUCACUAUUCUCG
This 75-nucleotide transfer RNA is filed under the name Jenufa minuta. RNAcentral describes it as "tRNA-Asp". It matches the Rfam family "tRNA". Rfam says of the family: Transfer RNA (tRNA) molecules are approximately 80 nucleotides in length. Their secondary structure includes four short double-helical elements and three loops (D, anti-codon, and T loops). Further hydrogen bonds mediate the characteristic L-shaped molecular structure. tRNAs have two regions of fundamental functional importance: the anti-codon, which is responsible for specific mRNA codon recognition, and the 3' end, to which the tRNAs corresponding amino acid is attached (by aminoacyl-tRNA synthetases). tRNAs cope with the degeneracy of the genetic code in two manners: having more than one tRNA (with a specific anti-codon) for a particular amino acid; and 'wobble' base-pairing, i.e. permitting non-standard base-pairing at the 3rd anti-codon position. The record is from RNAcentral. Lineage: Eukaryota; Viridiplantae; Chlorophyta; Chlorophyceae.